UUUUAUCUAAUUUAUAGUAAAAUAUUUAUUUGUCAAGUAAACAAUACCUUGUGGUGAUGAAAU
RNAcentral lists this transfer RNA (63 nucleotides) under Megaustenia imperator imperator. RNAcentral describes it as "tRNA-Asp". Lineage: Eukaryota; Metazoa; Mollusca; Gastropoda; Stylommatophora; Ariophantidae. The record is from RNAcentral.